RNAcentral lists this ribosomal RNA (372 nucleotides) under uncultured bacterium. RNAcentral's name for it is "bacterial SSU rRNA". It matches the Rfam family "Bacterial small subunit ribosomal RNA", at positions 523 to 897 of the family's 1533-position model. The record is from RNAcentral.
AUACGGAGGAUCCGAGCGUUAUCCGGAUUUAUUGGGUUUAAAGGGCGCGUAGGCGGAUACUUAAGUCAGUUGUGAAAUCUUAGGGCUUAACCUUGAAAUUGCAGUUGAUACUGGACGUCUUGAGUGCAUUAAAUGUAAGCGGAAUUCUUGGUGUAGUGGUGAAAUGCUUAGAUAUCACGAAGAACUCCAAUUGCGAAGGCAGCUCUCAGGACUGUAACUGAGGCUGAGGCUCGAAAGUGUAGGUAUCAAACAGGAUUAGAUUCGCUGGUAGUCCACACAGUAAACGGUGAAUACUCGCUGUUUGCGAUAUACAGUAAGCGGCCAAGCGAAAGCGUUAAGUAUUCCACCUGGGGAGUACGCUGGCAACGGUGA